This 758-nucleotide ribosomal RNA is filed under the name uncultured archaeon. Its description in RNAcentral is "bacterial SSU rRNA". It matches the Rfam family "Archaeal small subunit ribosomal RNA", at positions 1 to 752 of the family's 1478-position model. The record is from RNAcentral.
UUCGCCCUUUUCCGGUUGAUCCUGCCGGAAGUUACUGCUAUCGGUGUUCGACUAAGCCAUGCGAGUCAAAUGUUCUUCGUGAACAUGGCGGACUGCUCAGUAACACGUGGAUAACCUGCCCUUAGGUUCGGCAUAACUCCGGGAAACUGGAGAUAAUUCCGAAUAGGUCAAAUAUGCUGGAAUGCUUUUUGGCCAAAAGACCUCGGUUGCCUAAGGAUGGAUCUGCGGUCUAUCAGGUUGUAGUGGGUGUAACGUACCUACUAGCCUACGACGGAUAUGGGUUGUGAGAGCAAGAGCCCAGAGAUGGAUUCUGAGACAUGAAUCCAGGCCCUACGGGGCGCAGCAGGCGCGAAAACUUUACAAUGCGGGAAACCGCGAUAAGGGGACACCGAGUGCCAGCAUUUAUGUUGGCUGUCCACAUGUGUAAACGGCAUGUGUUAGCAAGGGCCGGGCAAGACCGGUGCCAGCCGCCGCGGUAACACCGGCGGCCCGAGUGGUAAUCACUUUUAUUGGGUCUAAAGGGUCCGUAGCCGGCUCGAUCAGUUCUUCGGGAAAUCUGGCAGCUCAACUGUUAGGCUUCCGGGGAAUACUGUCAGACUUGGGACCGGGAGAGGUAAGAGGUACUACAGGGGUAGGAGUGAAAUCUUGUAAUCCCUGUGGGACCACCAGUGGCGAAGGCAUCUUACCAGAACGGGUCCGACGGUGAGGGACGAAAGCUGGGGGCACGAACCGGAUUAGAUACCCGGGUAGUCCCAGCC